Long non-coding RNA from Manis pentadactyla (Chinese pangolin), 140 nucleotides. RefSeq lists it as uncharacterized. The record is from RefSeq and is a predicted model, not a curated record. NCBI's taxonomy places the organism in Eukaryota, Metazoa, Chordata, Mammalia, Pholidota, Manidae. The transcript has 3 exons.
GUGUAUCGGAUGGAACCGAGGGCCACAUCCUCUCAUAGAAAAUUACAAACUUCAGAAAAGUUGAAGGAACAGAAAUAUGAAUUAUCCUUGAACUCAGAGGCUGGGACCCCUUCUCGUCCUGGGAGUGAACCACACAGUCU